UGCGGAUGCAUUGUGACCAGCGAUGUGUAACUACAUCUGAUGGACUGGUCGGAUUUUUAAACGGCGGUGCAUCAGCAUGGCUGCAGCUUUGAGCUGAAACUAGGAAAAAAAAAUGAAAUGAUGCUUUCAAUUGCAUAUUCAAUACAGUUGUAGAAAUUAAAAAGUAAUAAGCAGAAUUGGUGAUAAAUGACCGCUCGGUACUUCUGGUGUUCACUAAAUGUGUAUCUAUUCAUAUAGAUGUGUGACUAUCAAUGUGACAAUUCAUAAGAACAAUAAGCAUUUUGAGAUCCUCCUAAAUUGGUGAUAGUGUUCUGGGCUUUCUCCAUGGCAUUAACUAAGCUACUCAUCAGGGAAUUGCUGUAAUUGUCAAAGCUCCUUCUAUGACAAAACAGAAUGGAGAAAGAACUGUGUGUGGUAACAACUUCCCACCUCUAUAGUUUGUAAGAUAACUUACCUGUGGGAUAUGCUUUUUAAAAACAUGAGCUCCUCCUAAAAUGGUAGUGUUGUGGGCUUUCUCCAUAAAAAUAUAUAUCUAUGCACAUAUACUUGAUAUGAUGUUCAUGAUAGCACAUUUAAAACAGUUGUAGAAAUUAAAAUGUAAUAAGCAGAAUUGGUGAUAAAUGACCGCUUGGUACUUCUGGUGUUAACUAAAUGUGUAUCUAUUCAUAUAGAUGUGUGACUAUCAAUGUGACAAUUCAUAAGAACAAUAAGCAUUUUGAGCUCCUCCUAAAUUGGUGAUAGUGUUCUGGGUUUUCUCCAUUACAUUAACCAAGCUACUCAUCAGGGAAUUGCUGUAAUUGUCAAAGCUCCUUCAAGGCCAAAGAAAGAAAAAGGGACACUCUGUAACUAAAUGUAUUCACACAGGAGAGGAGGUAGAGCAGUGUGUGAUAACAGCCUCCCAACUCUAACCUGUUGGGUAGUUUUCCUUUAUAAAAGCACUUUCUUCCGGAUUAUUAAUCCCUUUUGCUUGAAUCUUGUUAUGAAACUGUUAAACCCAAUAGGUGUGGCUGUGUGAUGAGAAGCUUGUAAGUGGAUUUUGAAGAUGGAAACUAAAAGAAGCCCAUCAUUUAUAUAUAUAUAUAUGUGUAGGAAGCCUAUUGUCUACCUUGCUAUUCAGCUCUAAAUUUUUAGUGUUCAGAUUAAUUUGUCAAAUGUAAUGCUUAUUUGUUCAUGUUAUUUUCAACUAUUCAGGUGUCACAGGUGUCUCCGAAAUAUUUACCUGUAAUUUUGUUAAUUUUUUUUUUUUUACAAACAGAUUUAAAAUUUUGUUUGUGGGUGCUAAUAUAACAGUGGAUUAUAGUUAUGAAACUUCAGCUGAUCUUGCUGCUUAAAAUUUGACUUUAAUGGGCAGGUUAAUUUAAUUAACAGGUGUGAAAGCAAUAACAUGGUUAAACACUAAAAUUGAAAUUCUUAAUACAUCUCAACCAUUUGAUUUGUUACUAGAAUUAUCCCAGGUGUCAACUGCCAAAAAUUUUGCCACUUUUCAAGAUGAGGUACAUUAAUUUGAAUUAAUAAAAAUACAGGUGUAAUCGGUA
Molecule: long non-coding RNA, 1535 nt
Organism: Octopus sinensis (East Asian common octopus)
Lineage: Eukaryota; Metazoa; Mollusca; Cephalopoda; Octopoda; Octopodidae
Exons: 2
Source: RefSeq, a predicted model, not a curated record